AGGAGAAGAUUUUGAAAGACAACAUUGUGAUCAUCCUUUUUGAUGUACUCUUUCAUUGACAGAGCUCAAGGAAAUGAUGGAAAAUGAGCCAAAAGCAUCGUGUGAGUCAAGAGGUGCAGAAGUGCUGCCAAGCAUAGAUUCCCACCAUGGCAGGAACGACUCCUGGGGUGGUGAAUUCCAAAGAAAUGGCUCUGUGGUGGCUGGCACCGGCUGCAGCAGGAAAAUCACACAGAGACAGGAACAAGGCAGCAGGUGUUAGAUUCAGUAAAACCUGCAAAGGACAAGGAGUUAAUCUGCUGCAGAAGAUACAAGUGGGGUUACCAGAACAUGCUAUUGCCAGCCCAAAGCAAGCUAAAAAUUGCUGAGAAUGACCAAAAGGGCAAUUAGAAACACCAUGUGCUAUGGGACUGAAGGAUGGCUUCAUCCAUCAUGGGGAACUUCCUAGUUCAUCAUGCAUCUUGAGGAUGACUGAAAGGCACUGGAUUUGCUAUUUGGUACCCACCAAGGAAGUUUUACAUCACCUGCUCCUGUGGUGUUUCCAGGUAAGAUCUCUGCUCUGCUGUGGAAUGAGAGGACACACCACGUAGCAGUGCCUAGCACUCAGAAGUGGCAACUCCUUUUUCUUGGCUGAGUGAGAACCUAGCCUCACCUCUUGCCAGGUAAAGCGACACACUUACCUGUCUUCUGCUCUCUCCUCCCCUUACCUGGCUGGCUGAUACUCCUUAUCUUCUUACCCUUUUUCCCAUUAUCUAUGUUCCUUUUUUUUUUUUUUUUUUUUUUUUU
This is a long non-coding RNA of Prinia subflava (tawny-flanked prinia), 783 nucleotides long. RefSeq lists it as uncharacterized. The record is from RefSeq and is a predicted model, not a curated record. The transcript is spliced from 4 exons. Lineage: Eukaryota; Metazoa; Chordata; Aves; Passeriformes; Cisticolidae.